This 505-nucleotide ribosomal RNA is filed under the name uncultured bacterium. Its description in RNAcentral is "partial 16S ribosomal RNA". It matches the Rfam family "Bacterial small subunit ribosomal RNA", at positions 28 to 507 of the family's 1533-position model. The record is from RNAcentral.
GACGAACGCUGGCGGCGUGCCUAAUACAUGCAAGUAGAACGCACAGUUUAUACCGUAGCUUGCUACACCAUAGACUGUGAGUUGCGAACGGGUGAGUAACGCGUAGGUAACCUGCCUGGUAGCGGGGGAUAACUAUUGGAAACGAUAGCUAAUACCGCAUAAUAUUAAUUAUUGCAUGAUAAUUAAUUGAAAGGUGCAAUUGCACCACUACCAGAUGGACCUGCGUUGUAUUAGCUAGUAGGUGAGGUAACGGCUCACCUAGGCGACGAUACAUAGCCGACCUGAGAUGGUGAUCGGCCAGACUGGGACUGGGACAAGGCCCAGACUCCUACGGGAGGCAGCAGUAGGGAGUCUUCGGCAAUGGACGAGAGUCUGACCGAGCAACGCCGCGUGAGUGAAGAAGGUUUGCGGAUCGUAAAGCUCUGUUGUAAGAGAAGAACGGGUGUGAGAGUGGAAAGUUCACACUGUGACGGUAUCUUACCAGAAAGGGACGGCUAACUACGUG